This 264-nucleotide ribosomal RNA is filed under the name uncultured archaeon. RNAcentral's name for it is "partial 16S ribosomal RNA". It matches the Rfam family "Archaeal small subunit ribosomal RNA", at positions 717 to 982 of the family's 1478-position model. The record is from RNAcentral.
AGACGUCUACAUUAGAUACCCGNGUAGUCCCAGCCGUAAACUAUGCGCGUUAGGUGUAUCGGUGACCACGAGUCACCGAGGUGCCGAAGGGAAACCGUGAAACGUGCCGCCUGGGAAGUACGGUCGCAAGGCUGAAACUUAAAGGAAUUGGCGGGGAGCACCACAACGGGUGGAGCCUGCGGUUUAAUUGGACUCAACGCCGGGAAGCUCACCGGAUAAGACAGCGGAAUGAUUGCCGGGCUGAAGACUCUGCAUGACUAGCUG